ACACACACAAGCGCGCACACUGGCGCGCGCACCCACUGGGUCUCCAGGCGGCUGCCGUGUCCGCAUCCCCGGCAGCGGCUCCGGGCAAAGUGACAGAAAAAAGAUGGUUUCUCUAUGAUACAGGAUCUUGAAAUGUGAUCUUUCUUAAGGUACGUGUAUGUGCUUUUAAAAGUUAACUUAUUAUGACUUUUUAAAACAUUUUGUUAUCUUGACUACAUUGCAACUCAAACUAUUAAAUUGAGAAGCCAUUUUUAUGCAGUGCAUGCCAUUGUGAGUUGAAUUAAAACCUCCGAUUCAUCUUUCUAAGUUAAGUAUUGUGUUUUCCAAGCUUUUUAAAGAACAACUGUUUUGAGCAAGUAUUUGUCUACAGCAGUCAAUGCGUGAGAUGUGUAAUAAGUGAAUGUCUCUCAGUAGGUAGAUUUUUUUUUUAUUGAACUAGACUAAUUUCAGCCUAUCGAGAUGAAAUAUGUUCCUUUUUUUUUUCUGUGGGUGGCGUCAUUCUGGGAAGCCUAGAAUUUGGAAGUAUAGGAUGGUCUGUGGCCAAAGUUGUCACAGCUUCCAUUUUUUUCUGUGAGUUUUUUUUUUUUUUCCCCAGUGUGUGGAUUGUGGUUUGCUUGUCACUUUAUCAGCUAUAACAAAGUCAUGGACAUUCUAGGUUUAUUGGAGACUUUUUGCAAUCUAUACAGAGUCUCCAAUAGGUUUCUCCAUUUCAUGGACGGAGCUCCUAGCUUUGUUUUCCUAACGUUUACUCUGUAGCGUGUACCAAAUCUGCUGGUGUUCUGAAAGGUAUGCUUGAGGAUAUUGAUUCUGAUGAGAGUGGCAUGGCCAGAGGUCCCUAAAGGUGCUGGGAAAGUUCGAGACACAACUGUAGAAUCGCUUCUGAGAUUUGGGGAUGGUCCAAGAUCACCGCAGUCAAAUCUGACCUUGGGCCACUAUCCUUCACUGUGUUCCAACAGUCUCUGCUCAGAUUGUAGGAUUUUCAUUCCUAGGUCAUUUCGGGCCAGAGAAGAUAUGGUAUGGAAACAUUCUUCUCCAUUUUAUAAUCACAGAUUUGUGAAUCUGAUGGGGCGUGUCUUCAUUCUUCUGUCAGCUUCACAAAAGUGACUUUUCACCUCCAACUUUCCAUGACCUUGUCCAGCUUGUGGCCAUCCCCAGCCUGGGGAUGGCUCAGUUCUCCUCUUUGCCAGAACUCCCAAAGUUCCUUACCUGUUUAUCACUUACAAAACAUCACCUACCACUAGGGAGCGAAAAGGGAGAAUUAUGACAUGGACUAGAUCAUUGGAAAUCUGAGGUAAAGAACAAACAUGCUUCCUUAUCUCUAAAUUGGAAAUAGAGGAGAUAACGCUGAGAUGAAAUAUCUGUCCUACUAUAAGGUGAGUUGAAACAACAGUGUACGUUCAGCAUUUGGAAAUAAAAACUGCAAGGGUAUAUUUGUAAAUAGAGACAUUAAACGAAGAGAUUGCAGCUACUUUGCUGCAGAAAUGGACUUCACAGAUCUGCUGUGUGCAGAUUACUUACAGCGAAAUGACUGCAAAAUUAUGAACCAAAUGUUUGCUUUACCUUUUUUUUCCUUGAAAUUAUUUCUUCAGAUUUUGGCUUCAGAGAUGACACAGAGCAACGUGAGUUAAUCACAGGCGGAGGGCUGAUGAACAGCAUAUAAAUGUUGAUUUAUAAAAAUACUCUUUUAGGAAAUCCAAAUUGUUAGACCUUGAUCUUCUUCGCAGCUAGAAUGAUAAUUAGGCUUCAUUGCAGCAUAAAUAAUUUAUACUAUACAUCUGCUACCAGACAUACAUUGAAAAAAUUUGGCUCCCAAGCAUUAGGAAAAUUGCAUUUUCUCAUUUCUCUAAUACCAACCCAAAGCCCCUCUUGUGAGUGAGGACCCACAUCUGUGCCAUGUAUUUUCACAUAUCUGCAGCACACCUGGGGACAGGGUCUUUAGAAGGGGCUUCUGACCUGUGUGGGUCACAGAGUCCAGGAAGUGGUGGGAUAUGUAAGAGGUCCUGGAAUCCAUGGUAACAUUAAGGGUUGUUCACAUGUUGAAUAAGUAACGUCUCCCACAUUUAUGUGUAUGACUCUUUGGAAAUCCUAUAUAGUUGCUGUUGUUAUGAUGAAAUAUACAUGAAUAUAAGGGACCUGAAUUAUGAGGAGUUCUUUACUUAGAAUAGAUGUUCUUACCAGGAGUUAAAGCACAACCAUUAUAAACUAUUGUAAAUUUGACUGUUGUAAAAUGAGUUGAGCAACUCCUUUUGACUUUAAAACUGGGGAGUUCCGUCAUGGCGCAGCGGAAACGAAUCCGACUGGGAACCAUCAGUCGGAUUCCCUGGCCUCACUCAGUGGGUUAAGGAUCCGGCUUUGCGGUGAGCUGUGGUGUAGGUUGCACACACGGCUCAGAUCUGGCAUUGCUGUGGCUCCGAUUAGACCCCUAGCCUGGGAACUUCCAUAUGCUGCAGUUGCGGCCAUAAAAACUGAAAGAAAAAAAGAAAAAAAAAAAAA
RNAcentral lists this long non-coding RNA (2493 nucleotides) under Sus scrofa (pig). Its description in RNAcentral is "lncRNA (ENSSSCG00065004810.1)". The record is from RNAcentral. Lineage: Eukaryota; Metazoa; Chordata; Mammalia; Artiodactyla; Suidae.